UAUAAAGCUUAGUUGGGCUGGAUAUGAAAUUCUGUUGGAAAUUCUUUUCUUUAAGAAUGUUCAAUAUUGGCCAUCAUUGCUUCUGGCUUGUAGGGUUUCCUCUGAGAGGUCCACUCUUAGUCUAAUGGGCUUCCCUGUGGAGGUGACCUGGCCUUUCUCUCUGGCUGCCCUUAAUGUUUUUUCUUUCAUUUAAAACCUGGAGAAUCUGAUGACUAUAUGUCUUGGGAAUGAUCUUCUCAUGUCGUAACUUGCCAGGGUCCUCUGCAUUUCUGAAUUUGAAUGUUAGCCUGUCUAGCUAGGUUGCGGAAGUUCUCAUGAAUGAUGUCCUGAAAUGUUUUCCAGAUUGGUUCCACUCUCCCCAUCUCUUUCAGGUACGCCAAUUAUUCAUAGAUUCAGUUUAUUUACAUAAUCCCAUGUUUCUGGGAGGUUUUGCUGAUUCCUUUUCAUUCUUUUUUCUCUAUUCUUGUCUUCCUGUUUUAUUUCAGAAAGCCAGUCUUCAAUCACUGAGAUUCUUUUCUCCACUUCCUCUAUUCUGCUACUAAUACUGCUAUGGAAGGAACAUGAGGUUCUGCUGCUCUGCUGGCCUACACUGCGGGGAGCAAUACUGUUUUAGGGAGGACUUCCGAACAGGAUGUUGUCCAUUCAUCUUGCAAAUGUUGUACACGAACAAACCAGCUCUUUAUGGGUCAGAAGAUUGAUACUGCAGUUCAGAUCCCAGGGCAGAAUUCCAUCUUGCUUGGGAAAGGCAAAAAGAAAAUGAUACCAACUGCAAAUAUGUAAUGAAGAGCAGCAGAAAUGGUCUUUUACAGAUUGGAAUCCUAAUCAUUCAGAGAUGACCAAUAUUGUGCUACCUACUGUAUUAAUAAACAAAAGGGAACCUGGUCUCUAUGAGAAUCUCUAUCUGGUGCCUUCAGACAAAACUUCACCAGGUUUCAAGAGAAAACCCCUGUCUCUACACCUCCACUCCCAGGGCGAGCUCACUCUCUGGCAUCAAGUUCCCUGUGGUGAAUUUCCUUGUACAAGAGUCCAAGGGGAGAGGUCUUUCUUCCUGGAUACUCAUGACGCAUCCCCAGUUCUCACUCCCAUUGGGUGACGGGUUUCUAGCUAAGCCAAUCAGCGUCGCCGAGGUCCCGGUUCUGAAGCUCCCAGACACCUACCUGGACUCAAGAUUCUCCCCAGACGCCGAGGAUGGGGUCAUGGCGCCCCGAAUCCUCCUUCUGCUGCUCUCGGGGGCCCUUGUCCUGACUAAGACCUGGGCGGGCUCCCACUCCAUGAGGUAUUUCUGCACUGCCGUGUCCCGGCCCGGCCGCGGGGAGCCCCGCUUCAUCUCUGCGGGCUACGUGGACGACACGCAGUUCGUGCGGUUCGACAGCGACGCUGCGAGUGGGAGAGAGGAGCCGCGGGCGCCGUGGAUGGAGCAGGAAGGGCCGGAGUAUUGGGACCGUGAGACACUGACCCUCAGGGCCAGCGCGCAGACUCACCGGGGGAACCUGCGGACCCUGCGUGGCUACUACAACCAGAGCGAGGCCGGGUCUCACACCCUCCAGACGACCUAUGGCUGCGACCUGGGGCCUGAUGGGCGCCUCUUCCGCGGGUAUUACCAACAUGCCUAUGACGACAAGGAUUACAUCGCCCUGAACGAGGACCUGCGCUCUUGGACAGCGGCUGACACGGCUGCUCAGAUUACCCAGCGCAAGUUGUAGGCCGUCCAUGAGGCAAAGGGGCUCAGGGCCUACCUGGAGGGCACAUGCCUGAAGUGGCUCCGCAGAUACCUGGCCAAGGGGAAGGAGACUGCAGCAUACGGACCCCCCAAAGACGCAUGUGACCCACCACCCUGUCUCUGAUCAUGAGGCCACCCUGAGGUGCUGGGCCCUAGGCUUCUACCCUGUGGAGAUCACACUGACCUGGCAGAAGGAUGGGGAGGACCAAACUCAGGACGCCGAGCUUGUGGAGACCAGGCCAGCAGGGGAUGGAACCUUCCAGAAGUGGACAGCUGUGGUGGUGCCUUCUGGAGAAGAGCAGGGAUACAUGUGCCAUGUGCAGCACAAGGGGCUGCCCAAACCCCUCACCCUGAGAUGGGAGCCGUCUUCCCAGCUCACCAUCCCCAUCGUGGGCAUCGUUGCUGACUUGGUUUUCUUUGGAGCUGUGGUCAUCGGAGCUGUGGUGACUGCUAUGAUGUGGAGGAGGAAGAGCUCAGGACAUUUUCUUCCCACAGCUGGAAAAAGAGGGAGCUACUCUCAGGCUGCGUGUCCUAGGCAGCGACAGUGCCCAGGACUCUGAUGUGUCUCUCACGGCUUGUAAAGCCUGAGACGGCUGCCUUGUGUGGGACUGAGAUGCGGGAUUUCUUCACGCCUCCCCUUUGUGACUUCAAGAGCCUCUGGCGUCUCUUUCUACUAAGGCAUCUGAAUGUGUCUGUGUCCCUGUUAGCAUAAUGUGAGGAGGUGGAGAGACAGCCCAUCCCAUGUCCACCGUGACCCCUGUCCCCAUGCUGACCUGUGUUCCCUCCCCAGUCAUCUUUCCUGUUCCAGAGAGGUGGGGCUGAGCAUCUCCAUCUGUGUCUCAGCUUCAUGGUGCACUGAGCUGCAACCUCUUACUUCCCUACUGAAAACAGAAUCUGAAUAUAAAUGUGUUUCCUCAAAUAUUUGCCACGAGAGGUUGAUGAGUUAAUUAAAUAAGUCAAUUCCUAAAAUUCGAGAGAGAAAAUAAAGACCUGAGAACCUUCCAGAA
Non-coding RNA from Callithrix jacchus (white-tufted-ear marmoset), 2727 nucleotides. Lineage: Eukaryota; Metazoa; Chordata; Mammalia; Primates; Cebidae. The record is from RefSeq and is a predicted model, not a curated record.